This 1696-nucleotide ribosomal RNA is filed under the name Desulfosporosinus cupriresistens. Its description in RNAcentral is "Desulfosporosinus sp. BG Bacterial large subunit ribosomal RNA". It matches the Rfam family "Bacterial large subunit ribosomal RNA", at positions 1225 to 2925 of the family's 2925-position model. The record is from Rfam by way of RNAcentral. Lineage: Bacteria; Bacillati; Bacillota; Clostridia; Eubacteriales; Desulfitobacteriaceae.
GGGGUAGGGGAGCGUUCUAUCAGCAGAGAAGUCAAACUGUAAGGUUUGGUGGAGUGGAUAGAAGUGAGAAUGCCGGUAUGAGUAUGCGAAAAGGAAGGUGAGAAUCCUUCCCGCCGAAAAUCUAAGGUUUCCUGGGGAAGGCUCGUCCGCCCAGGGUAAGUCGGGACCUAAGCCGAGGCCAAAAGGCGUAGGUGAUGGACAACUGGUUGAGAUUCCAGUACCACCUAGAAAUGUUUGAGCAAUGGGGUGACACAGAAGGAUAGGUUAAGCCAACCGUUGGUAGAGUUGGCCCAAGCGAGAAGGAGGUAGGGUAGGCAAAUCCGCCCUGCGAAACUCUGAGACGUGAAGGGGAGCGAAAAUUAGUAGCGAAGUAACCGACUCCAAGCUGUCAAGAAAAGCCUCUAGUGAGUGACUAGGUGCCCGUACCGUAAACCGACACAGGUAGAUGGGGUGAGAAUCCUAAGGCGCGCGAGAAACCCCUCGUUAAGGAACUCGGCAAAAUAGCCCCGUAACUUCGGGAGAAGGGGCGCUCUUGGCAACAAGAGCCGCAGAGAAAUGGUCCAGGCGACUGUUUAACAAAAACACAGGUCCCUGCUAAUCCGAAAGGAGAUGUAUAGGGGCUGACACCUGCCCGGUGCUGGAAGGUUAAGAGGAGAGGUUAGGGGCAACCCGAAGCUUUGAAUUGAAGCCCCAGUAAACGGCGGCCGUAACUAUAACGGUCCUAAGGUAGCGAAAUUCCUUGUCAGGUAAGUUCUGACCCGCACGAAAGGUGUAACGAUCUGGACACUGUCUCGACGAGGGACUCGGCGAAAUUGUAAUACCCGUGAAGAUGCGGGUUACCUGCGACAGGACAGAAAGACCCCAUGGAGCUUUACUGUAGCUUGACAUUGGAUUUUGGUAUAAAAUGUACAGGAUAGGUGGGAGACUGAGAAGCUAGGGCGCCAGCCUUGGUGGAGUCGACGGUGGGAUACCACUCUUUUUGUACUGAAGUUCUAACUAGGUCCCCUGAAGCGGGGAUUAGGACAGUAUCAGGUGGGCAGUUUGACUGGGGCGGUCGCCUCCUAAAGAGUAACGGAGGCGCCCAAAGGUUCCCUCAGCGCGGUUGGAAAUCGCGCGAAGAGUGUAAAGGCAUAAGGGAGCUUGACUGCGAGACCAACAAGUCGAGCAGGGACGAAAGUCGGGCUUAGUGAUCCGGUGGUACCGAGUGGAAGGGCCAUCGCUCAACGGAUAAAAGCUACCCUGGGGAUAACAGGCUUAUCUCCCCCAAGAGUCCAUAUCGACGGGGAGGUUUGGCACCUCGAUGUCGGCUCAUCGCAUCCUGGGGCUGUAGUAGGUCCCAAGGGUUGGGCUGUUCGCCCAUUAAAGCGGUACGUGAGCUGGGUUCAGAACGUCGUGAGACAGUUCGGUCCCUAUCCGUCGCAGGCGCAGGAAAUUUGAGAGGAUCUGUCCCUAGUACGAGAGGACCGGGAUGGACGAAUCACUGGUGUACCAGUUGUCUCGCCAGAGGCACAGCUGGGUAGCUAUAUUCGGAGCGGAUAAGCGCUGAAAGCAUCUAAGCGCGAAACCGACCUCAAGAUGAGAUUUCCCACAGCAUAAGCUGGUAAGACCCCUGAAAGAUGAUCAGGUUGAUAGGCCAGGUGUGGAAGCACCGUGAGGUGUGGAGCUGACUGGUACUAAUCGGUCGAGGGCUUGACCU